This 576-nucleotide ribosomal RNA is filed under the name Fusarium sp. C_1_BESC_294z. Its description in RNAcentral is "eukaryotic LSU rRNA". It matches the Rfam family "Eukaryotic large subunit ribosomal RNA", at positions 1 to 590 of the family's 3401-position model. Lineage: Eukaryota; Fungi; Ascomycota; Sordariomycetes; Hypocreales; Nectriaceae. The record is from RNAcentral.
ACCUCGGAUCAGGUAGGAAUACCCGCUGAACUUAAGCAUAUCAAUAAGCGGAGGAAAAGAAACCAACAGGGAUUGCCCUAGUAACGGCGAGUGAAGCGGCAACAGCUCAAAUUUGAAAUCUGGCUCUCGGGCCCGAGUUGUAAUUUGUAGAGGAUGCUUUUGAUGCGGUGCCUUCCGAGUUCCCUGGAACGGGACGCCAUAGAGGGUGAGAGCCCCGUCUGGUUGGAUGCCAAAUCUCUGUAAAGCUCCUUCAACGAGUCGAGUAGUUUGGGAAUGCUGCUCUAAAUGGGAGGUAUAUGUCUUCUAAAGCUAAAUACCGGCCAGAGACCGAUAGCGCACAAGUAGAGUGAUCGAAAGAUGAAAAGCACUUUGAAAAGAGAGUUAAAAAGUACGUGAAAUUGUUGAAAGGGAAGCGUUUAUGACCAGACUUGGACUUGGUUAAUCAUCUGGGGUUCUCCCCAGUGCACUUUUCCAGUUCAGGCCAGCAUCAGUUUUCCCCGGGGGAUAAAGGCGGCGGGAAUGUGGCUCUCUUCGGGGAGUGUUAUAGCCCGCCGUGUAAUACCCUGGGGGGGACUG